This 256-nucleotide unclassified non-coding RNA is filed under the name plant metagenome. Its description in RNAcentral is "partial contains small subunit ribosomal RNA, internal transcribed spacer 1, and 5.8S ribosomal RNA". The stretch from base 208 to 256 matches the Rfam family "5.8S ribosomal RNA", at positions 1 to 49 of the family's 154-position model. The record is from RNAcentral.
UUUCCGUAGGUGAACCUGCGGAAGGAUCAUUACCGAGUGAGGGCCCUCUGGGUCCAACCUCCCACCCGUGUUUAUCGUACCUUGUUGCUUCGGCGGGCCCGCCUCACGGCCGCCGGGGGGCACCCGCCCCCGGGCCCGCGCCCGCCGAAGACACCAUUGAACGCUGUCUGAAGAUUGCAGUCUGAGCAUCUUAGCUAAAUCAGUUAAAACUUUCAACAACGGAUCUCUUGGUUCCGGCAUCGAUGUAGAACGCAGC